This 253-nucleotide ribosomal RNA is filed under the name uncultured bacterium. RNAcentral's name for it is "partial 16S ribosomal RNA". It matches the Rfam family "Bacterial small subunit ribosomal RNA", at positions 524 to 776 of the family's 1533-position model. The record is from RNAcentral.
UACGUAGGGCGCAAGCGUUGUCCGGAAUUAUUGGGCGUAAAGAGCUCGUAGGCGGUUUGUCGCGUCUGUCGUGAAAGCUUGGGGCUUAACCCCAAGUCUGCGGUGGAUACGGGCAGACUAGAGGCAGGUAGGGGAGAACGGAAUUCCCGGUGUAGCGGUGAAAUGCGCAGAUAUCGGGAGGAACACCGGUGGCGAAGGCGGCUUCCUGGCCUGUUCUUGACGCUGAGGCGCGAAAGCUAGGGGAGCAAACGGG